This 596-nucleotide ribosomal RNA is filed under the name uncultured bacterium. RNAcentral's name for it is "bacterial SSU rRNA". It matches the Rfam family "Bacterial small subunit ribosomal RNA", at positions 112 to 704 of the family's 1533-position model. The record is from RNAcentral.
AAUGCCUAGGAAUCUGCCUGGUAGUGGGGGUUAACGUUCGGAAACGGACGCUAAUACCGCAUACGUCCUACGGGAGAAAGCAGGGGACCUUCGGGCCUUGCGCUAUCAGAUGAGCCUAGGUCGGAUUAGCUAGUUGGUGAGGUAAUGGCUCACCAAGGCGACGAUCCGUAACUGGUCUGAGAGGAUGAUCAGUCACACUGGAACUGAGACACGGUCCAGACUCCUACGGGAGGCAGUAGUGGGGAAUAUUGGACAAUGGGCGAAAGCCUGAUCCAGCCAUGCCGCGUGUGUGAAGAAGGUCUUCGGAUUGUAAAGCACUUUAAGUUGGGAGGAAGGGUUGUAGAUUAAUACUCUGCAAUUUUGACGUUACCGACAGAAUAAGCACCGGCUAACUCUGUGCCAGCAGCCGCGGUAAUACAGAGGGUGCAAGCGUUAAUCGGAAUUACUGGGCGUAAAGCGCGCGUAGGUGGUUUGUUAAGUUGGAUGUGAAAUCCCCGGGCUCAACCUGGGAACUGCAUUCAAAACUGACUGACUAGAGUAUGGUAGAGGGUGGUGGAAUUUCCUGUGUAGCGGUGAAAUGCGUAGAUAUAGGAAGG